AGAGAGAAGGCAGCCCGGUCCCCCUCAGUGGAAGGGAGUGGCGGUGGGCGGAGGGUGUUGAGGGGACGGUGCCAGCGGCUUGCGGGAAGCCGGGCGAUGCGGGUAGAACGGUGGAGGAGAGGGCAGGGAGGCCGGGGCCUCCCGUGGAACGGAACCGGGGGGUUGGGAGGCUGGGGGCGGCCUGUGUGAAGGGGGCGGGGAGGGAAAGGCUCGCGGCCAGUAGAUGCAGGAGGGAGGAGGGCCUAGAGGGGCUCCGGGCUGGCGGCCUCUGUGAGGAAGGGGAAGGAUAUGGAACCAAGAUCCUUUAAAUCCUGAUGAACUCAUCCGUAAAGCAGAUGCCCAAAGGAUGAUAGUAAGCUUACUGUGACAUAACUCCCGGAGCCGCAGCACGAGCCUUGUGAACCUUGGAAGCCCGUUUUCCGCGCAGUCACUAACUCGCUUAGUCACCCUGUGUAAAAGUUAUUCUGGGAUGACACCUGCCUGGGAAGUCUCACCUUUCCCCCCACCUCCUCCUGUCUGCGUAUUGUUCUGUAGCACCCCGUGCGCACCUUGAUUGUAGCGCUUAAGCAAGGCAAUUUACUUCUAUAGAAGGGUGCGCCCUCACAGAUGGAGCAAUGGUGAGCACACACCUGGACAAGGGAGGCGAAGGGGUUUUUAUUCCUGACGCUUGUGGCACCUGCUGCUGUGUCCUUCCCCUGUUGGCUAAGGUUAGACGGCACAGGCUAAACUAAUUCUGAUUGACUAAUUUAAAGAGAGUGACCGGGUAAGUGGUUUGGUGGGAAAAAUAGUUAUGGCAGAGCAGGAAAUCGGAAUGAGUCAGGGUGGAGAAUGAGUCAGGGCAGAGCAGGUAAUCAGAAUGAGUCAGGGUGGAGCAGGUAGUUGAAAAAGAUUGCUUUACGAGGAAGUUAAGCUUUUUUUGUUUUGUUUUGUUUUUUUUAAUUGAGACAGAGUCUCGCUCUAUAGCCUAGACUGGAGUGCAGUGGCGGCAUCUCGGCUCACUGCAAGCUCUGCCUCCUGGGUUUGCUCCAUUCUCCUGCCUAAGCCUCCCGAGUAGCUGGGACUACAGGUGCCCGCCACCACACCCGGCUUAUUUUUUGUAUUUUUAGUAGAGAUGGAUUUCACCGUGUUAGGAUGGCCUCCAUCUCCUGACUUCAUGAUCUUCCCGCCUCGGCCUCCUGGGAUUACAGGUGUGAGCCACCGCAUCUGGCCAGAAGUUAAGUUUAAAAGUAGAAGACAAAGAAUUGAACAUACUGACAUUGAUUCUUCGAAGAGAAAUUUAGAACUCAUAUCUAACACCAGCCUCCAAUUGAUUGAGCCAAUUCCUUCAAAUAAAUCUCUCUCUGCAAUAUGCAUCCUAUUGGAUCUGUUUCUGUAGGGAAUUCUGAUUAAUAUACCCUUUCAAGGAACAGCUUUGGAAGAUUAAGAUAAUUGUCUGCUUCUGGAACAAAAGACAGGUUUGUUGCUGUUCAGUUUAAUAAAGAGAGUGUCACCUUCUGGGGCAAAGGCUGAGCAUGUUGGCUUGCAGUUCACUGUUCAAGACUGGGCUUUCCUAAACUUGGUGUACCUGGGCGGUAAAACCAAUCACAUGUGCAGCAUCCACCUGGACUGUCCCCAUGGGACUUGGAAGGGAAAGGGGAACCGAAGGGAAUAUGAAGCCCAGGCUACUGGCUGUGCUGUGAAAAAUAAAGCCCUUUCUCUCUGACUCAGGUGUUUUCUGCCAUCAUUUGUGGAGCUGUUAGAUGAGCUUGUUAGCUUGCAAGUAGGGUAAAAUCUAACAUGAUUCUGAAUAGUAUCUAGCCAUACUAUACCCAGCUCAUAGCAGUUGUUCCAAGAAAUAUUUGUUGAAUUAAUUAGUGAAUACCGGG
This 1865-nucleotide long non-coding RNA is filed under the name Homo sapiens (human). Its description in RNAcentral is "non-protein coding lnc-CRYL1-1:11". The record is from RNAcentral. Lineage: Eukaryota; Metazoa; Chordata; Mammalia; Primates; Hominidae.